Molecule: long non-coding RNA, 684 nt
Filed under: Mytilus galloprovincialis (Mediterranean mussel)
Lineage: Eukaryota; Metazoa; Mollusca; Bivalvia; Mytilida; Mytilidae
Source: RNAcentral
UGUUGUUGUUGUUAUUGGUUUUGGUAGGCGACUUACUUAUGUAGUAAUUGCGCCUUAAAUUCAUAUAACAUAAGUAUUAUGUAUAUAUACUUUCAGUCCUUAAUUUAUUUUAAGUAUUACGUUUUGGCGAGUUUUAUGUCAAACUUUGGCGAACAUGGUUGACUGAAUUACUCAGAAAUAUAUAUAUAUGUUGAGAGACAAAAAACAAAGCAAAAAACACAUAACAGAAGAUACAUGUAAUAGGAAAAUGAAAAAAAAAGCAAAAAAAAAACAAAAAAGCAAAUGAUAGUCCCUAAUGUAAUGCUUUAUAUAUUGAAAGGUAUCAUAAAAUUGUUUAGAAAUGUAAUCUGGUUAUUCACCUUUGUGUCGUCUGUGAUAUACUUAUAUAAAAAAAAAAGUAUAUUUAGAAACAUGUAACAAGACAUGUGCUAGUUAAAUGCAACCAAUGUUAGGACGUCUCCCUCAAUUGAUGUAGCAAAUAAUGAAUCCUUAAAGUAAGGAUUGGUUGAAGUUAUUCCUUUUCCAUAACGGCAAGUUGCGUCAAUUUAAUCCAAAUAAAUUUCCAAAGACAUACUGGUAUUUAGUGAUUCCUCAUUCCCUGACGAGAAAAAAAUACUUCUGUCAUUGAACGAGGAAUCACCCCUACCUACACCCUUAAUCGCCUAUUUAUAUAUCUAUAUAUAU